RNAcentral lists this ribosomal RNA (526 nucleotides) under uncultured fungus. RNAcentral describes it as "SSU rRNA". It matches the Rfam family "Eukaryotic small subunit ribosomal RNA", at positions 569 to 1088 of the family's 1831-position model. Lineage: Eukaryota; Fungi. The record is from RNAcentral.
AGCAGCCGCGGUAAUUCCAGCUCCAAUAGCGUAUAUUAAAGUUGUUGCAGUUAAAAAGCUCGUAGUUGAAUUUCGGGAUUGGCAUGUUGGUCGUGCCCUAAGGGGUAUGAACUGACAUUGUUGAUUCUCACCUCUUGGAGAAACAUGAUUCCCUUAAUUGGGUGUUAUGUGGAACCAGGACCUUUACCUUGAAAAAAUUAGAGUGUUUAAAGCAGGCAUUUUUGCUCGAAUACAUUAGCAUGGAAUAAUAAAAUAGGACGGCUUGAUUCUAUUUUGUUGGUUUCUAGGAUCACCGUAAUGAUUAAUAGGGAUAGUUGGGGGCAUUAGUAUUCAAUUGUCAGAGGUGAAAUUCUUGGAUUUAUUGAAGACUAACUACUGCGAAAGCAUUUGCCAAGGAUGUUUUCAUUAAUCAAGAACGAAAGUUAGGGGAUCGAAGACGAUCAGAUACCGUCGUAGUCUUAACCAUAAACUAUGCCGACUAGGAAUCAGACGAUGUUAAUUUUUUAAUGACUCGUUUGGCUAACCG